GCUUACGACCACACCGGCCUGAGUACGCCUGAUCUCGUCUGAUCUCGGAAGCUAAGCAGGGUCGGGCCUGGUUAGUACUUGGAUGGGAUGGGAGAUUUCCUGGGAAUACCAGGUGCUGUAAGCU
Molecule: ribosomal RNA, 124 nt
Organism: Oncorhynchus tshawytscha (Chinook salmon)
Lineage: Eukaryota; Metazoa; Chordata; Actinopteri; Salmoniformes; Salmonidae
Source: Ensembl